CUUCAGUUUUCUUCCCUGACAUAGAGGUUGGCCUGGGUCACCUUUGGGAUCCCCUCUUUUUUUAGACAGCUUUCUUCUGGGCAGACAUGAAAAUUUAGUAAGAGUUAGCACGUGCCAUGUGCCAGGCACUAUUCUAGGAGCUUUCCUUGUAGUAGCUCAUGUCAUCUUCACUACCGCCCCGUGAAGUAGACACUGAUAUGAGCCCUACUUAGAAGAAGAAGCUGAGGCCUGGAGAGGCGCAAGGUCAUUCAGGGGAGCCUGGACAAGCGGGUACUGCCCUCCCUUCUGCAGAGGAAGAAUUCAGGCUUCCAGCAGCCAAGGGCUUGCUUGCGUGCGGCUGUGUCAGGACUGCAAUUCAAGCCCCUAGUUUCUUGUUCAGGGCUUUCUUCACUCCACGAAGACCAUCAUUCUAACAUCCUACAAAUGUCCGGUGCAAAUGUCUGUGUGAAAUAUAUGCUCUUUUCUGUCUGUUUACUUCAGACUCUGGGGAGAGAUCGGAGAGACAUUAGUAACUUCUUUUUUCUUUCCUCAAGUCCCUGUGACGAAAUGACUGUUUCUGCAGUGCUUGUUUUCUGGGCCCUGGAAAGAUUCCAAAGCUGUCACUGUGUUUUCCAUCUGGCACUUUUUCAAGAAUCUCUCUGCUGCUUCCUGCAGCCUGGAGGUCGUCCUGCAGAGGCCCCUCUACCACCCCUGACAGGCUGGUGGGGCAGGACAUAGGCAUCACGGAGCUGUGCAAUAGGCAGGAACAGCUUGACGAGGGGGCGGGCGCCCCAUUGCGUGCAAACUCACUCCAAGACGGGGAAGCGGCCCCCAGAGACAUGGUUUUCAAAAGUAGAAAACUACCUGCUAAUUUGUUACGGAAACUUUAAGUAUUGAAUGAAUCUAGUGAUUUUUUAAAAUAUAAUUCAACCUAUGGGAAAAAAUCCAGCUUGACUUUCUUGAAACACUCACGGGUCACACUAUUUGGAAAGCAACACUGAAAAGAAACUUUGGAACUUCCAAGGGAAUGUGGAUGGUGAGUGAGCCUCUGCAUUACAGAGUUUGAGCCGUCCCACCUCCCCAAGAACGCUCAGGACCUCAAAGACCCAGCCAGAAAAGACCAAAGAGAUGAUGGAAGUCACAGCUUUGCAGAAACUUCAGAAAAUUUGUGUUUACAAAAGGGUUUGCAAUAAAAGCUGCUGCUCACGUUUUCCUUCUGAAAUAGGUCAAGGAAGUGAAACUCUGGAAGGUAACUCACAGGUGCAGGAUUCCUCUGGACCUGUAAGAAGCUGACGGGCAUUGUGGCCACCGUACGAUGGCGUAGGGGACCUGGCAUUUCCCAGAUUUCUUCAGGUAUGCGAUACUUCCUGCUCAUUCAGCCAAUGUGGUAAAUACCAUCUGACCAAUAGCAAAGGGAAAAAGAGUACACAGCAGCUUCUUCUCUAGCUCAUCGGGAGGAAAAGAGCAAAGAGGAAGGAAAAGAAAGAGCAUGGCCUGGUCCAAAUUUUGGGACAGUUACAUUAAACAAAAGGAUCAGAAAAUGGAAAUGUAUUCCUUUGAAAUGACUGUAAUCGGCUGAAUGUUGAGGCUGGGAGCAGAGUAAUGAUGGAGAACAAGGUGGAUGAGAGUGUUAAUUUUCUCUGAUGAUGAAGGGUAUAUGGUCACACUUACAAGAGGAGAUGCAGACAUCACAGAGGAGCUGAUUUUCAAGAGACCCACUCUGCUUGCUGGGGUCCAUUUUCCGGAUGGUUGGUUGGCAUGGAGGAGGCAGGAAUCACAGUGAGCCCACGUCCUCUCCAAGGCAGGCACGCAGGAGACGUGUGAUCCAAGCAAAGCCAGCAAAGUUUGAAGUACGUAAUAAUAAAACUGAAAGUGAUCAAGAGAAUUUGUUGGCUACAGAUAUAUUCUGACUUCAGGAUAAUUUCAGUUCCACUGUUUGGUAAUAUCACCAGGAAUUGUUUUAUCUUAGACUUUGGGCUGCCUUGCUCUCGUAUUUUGACUGCUUCUUAAAAUGCCCCUCCACGUCCCAAGAUAACUACCAGCACCUUCUGGAAUUCAUGCAGCCUCAUUCAUUAUAAACAGAAAAGACUAUCUUUGUCCCCAAGUAGGGAAAACAUUGCUUCACCAAACAUAUGUUAAGAUCUUAUUCUUUGCCAAGUACUAGUGACGCAGAAAUGAGUCAGACGUGAUUGCUUAAAUGGGAAAGCUCGGAGUCAUCAUCUGGACAUCCACAAUAUUCCUAUUUCCUUCUGCGUAAAGAUUGUUUUUAAAAAUGCUCGUAUUCUGCGAUUUAUGAAGUGUGUUGAUGAGGUAUGUUUAUGAGGUGUGUUGAGUAACUGAUGUAGAACCGGCCCCCGUCCUUCCUUACCUGGGCUCCUACGUCCACGAACAUGAGAUGUCACACUUUUCUUUAGUCAUUCUCCCUGCUUUGAAAACCCUUUCCUUCCUUCUCCACCAGGCCGAGUUUUAACGUUUCUUCAAAGCCCUCCAGGGCAUCUUUCUAGGGCGUAUCAAGAAAUGAGAUCCGCGGGCAAGUAAGUGACUGGGAC
This 2528-nucleotide long non-coding RNA is filed under the name Equus caballus (horse). RNAcentral describes it as "lncRNA (ENSECAG00000031663.2)". Lineage: Eukaryota; Metazoa; Chordata; Mammalia; Perissodactyla; Equidae. The record is from RNAcentral.